AGAGUUUGAUCCUGGCUCAGGAUGAACGUUGGCGGCAUGCUUAACACAUGCAAGUCGAACGGGAAGUGGUGUUUCCAGUGGCGAACGGGUGAGUAACGCGUAAGAACCUGCCCUUGGGAGGGGAACAACAACUGGAAACGGUUGCUAAUACCCCGUAGGCUGAGGAGCAAAAGGAGAAAUCCACCCAUGGAGGGGCUCACGUCUGAUUUGCUAGUUGGUGAGGUAAUAGCUUACCAAGGCGAUGAUCAGUAGCUGGCCCUAGAGGAUGAUCAGCCACACUAGGACUGAGGCACAGCCCAGACUCCUACGGGAGGCAGCAGUGGGGAAUUUUCUGCAACGGGCGAAAGCCUGAUGGAGCAAUGCCGCGUGGAGGUAGAAGGCCUACGGGUCAUCAACUUCUUUUCUCAGAGAAGAAACAAUGACGGUAUCCGAGGAAUAAGCAUCGGCUAACUCUGUG
This 457-nucleotide ribosomal RNA is filed under the name uncultured bacterium. Its description in RNAcentral is "bacterial SSU rRNA". It matches the Rfam family "Bacterial small subunit ribosomal RNA", at positions 8 to 507 of the family's 1533-position model. The record is from RNAcentral.